AACGAACGCUGGCGGCAGGCUUAACACAUGCAAGUCGAACGCGAAAUCACCUUCGGGUGGUGGAGAGUGGCAGACGGGUGAGUAACGCGUGGGAAUCUACCUGAUGGUACGGAAUAACUCAGGGAAACUUGAGCUAAUACCGUAUGUGCCCGAGAGGGAAGAUUUAUCGCCAUCAGAUGAGCCCGCGUCGGAUUAGCUAGUUGGUGGGUAAAAGCCCACCAAGGCGACGAUCCGUAGCUGGUCUGAGAGGAUGAUCAGCCACACUGGGACUGAGACACGGCCCAGACUCCUACGGGAGGCAGCAGUGGGGAAUAUUGGACAAUGGGCGCAAGCCUGAUCCAGCCAUGCCGCGUGAGUGAUGAAGGCCCUAGGGUUGUAAAGCUCUUUCGACGGGGACGAUAAUGACGGUACCCGUAGAAGAAGCCCCGGCUAACUUCGUG
This 440-nucleotide ribosomal RNA is filed under the name uncultured bacterium. Its description in RNAcentral is "bacterial SSU rRNA". It matches the Rfam family "Bacterial small subunit ribosomal RNA", at positions 29 to 507 of the family's 1533-position model. The record is from RNAcentral.